UGGGGAAUAUUGCGCAAUGGGGGGAACCCUGACGCAGCCAUGCCGCGUGAAUGAAGAAGGCCUUAGGGUUGUAAAGUUCUUUCGGUAUUGAGGAAGGUUGAUGUGUUAAUAGCACAUCAAAUUGACGUUAAAUACAGAAGAAGCACCGGCUAACUCCGUGCCAGCAGCCGCGGUAAUACGGAGGGUGCGAGCGUUAAUCGGAAUAACUGGGUGUAAAGGGCACGCAGGCGGUUAUUUAAGUGAGGUGUGAAAGCCCCGGGCUUAACCUGGGAAUUGCAUUUCAGACUGGGUAACUAGAGUACUUUAGGGAGGGGUAGAAUUCCACGUGUAGCGGUGAAAUGCGUAGAGAUGUGGAGGAAUACCGAAGGCGAAGGCAGCCCCUUGGGAAUGUACUGACGCUCAUGUGCGAAAGCGUGGGGAGCAAACAGGAUUAGAUACCCUGGUAGUCCACGCUGUAAACGCUGUCGAUUUGGGGGUUGGGGUUUAACUCUGGCGCCCGUAGCUAACGUGAUAAAUCGACCGCCUGGGGAGUACGGCCGCAAGGUUA
This 547-nucleotide ribosomal RNA is filed under the name uncultured bacterium. RNAcentral's name for it is "bacterial SSU rRNA". It matches the Rfam family "Bacterial small subunit ribosomal RNA", at positions 355 to 896 of the family's 1533-position model. The record is from RNAcentral.